Molecule: long non-coding RNA, 1322 nt
Filed under: Ursus maritimus (polar bear)
Lineage: Eukaryota; Metazoa; Chordata; Mammalia; Carnivora; Ursidae
Description: lncRNA (ENSUMAG00000002430.1)
Source: RNAcentral
AUGGCCUCCAAAGGGCUGAUCUGCCUCUUUGCUCCCGUCUACAACCUGUUUCAGCUGCCUGCCAGAAGUGCCCUCGGAACCUUCCCAUCCACAAAACUGGUUUGGCUCACCACUGAUUGAAUUCCCAAUUCCGUGACUAUUGCCAAUGACGAGUGCAUUACCUCGGUGUGAAAGGUACCACCAAACAUCGGCUUUCGGGGACACAGAUACUCAAGUUCCAAGGUAUCUUCCAAUAAGAGAAACUAGAGAAAGAUCCAGCUGGAGCUGUUACCAAUUUGUCUUUUCCAUCUCAAAAGUGAGCCUCCCCAAAUCCAGGGCUUAGGGGCUUUCUAGAGAGGGGGAAGUUCAUAGUUCUUGUAGAUGUUGUGUGUCUUGCACAACUUCCCUACCGGCUUAUUUUCCUGCAGAUAAGAGGUUGUAGUUAUGGGUGUCACUGUAUUUAUUGGUCCAAAAGACUGGUACAAAGGACAGGCAGGCAGAGAGGGCACUGACUCACAAAGGUUGCCGUCUGCCUGUCCCUUUGGAAGGGACAGGACAGUCCAUCGAGUCCAACUCUUCACACCCGAGUGCUGUUGGGUUCUUUCCACAUGACCACAAGCACUUGAAUACCCUUCCUCUGUAGCAAAGCCUGUAAGCGCAGGGCACCCUGGGAACCCCCACAGGUGAGGCCGUGUGAACUGCGUGGGCUGUGGUUGCAGAGAGGAGAAUGUAAAUGGGAUCAAAUAUAGUAAGUAUGCUUGUGACAUAGAGUCACCAUUAGAGUUUGCCUGUUGAUGUUGGACUGCUACGUGCCACCCAGGACUGUUUCUAAGAAUCUGAACAUGUACCCCGGGGCUUAGGAGAGAAGAUGAAAAAAGGAAUUUGGUGUCCUUGCCAAGAUUUCUAGAUAAUGGGAAGGAUUUUUUUAGGAGGAAAUCAUAUUCAUCCCAGGGCUGGGAGGGUGGAGUGGGAAGAAGACAGCCUUAGCGAGUAAGAAAAUACUGCCAAAACCGAGGCUGACUCAGAAUAUAGCCUCUAGACCAACAGAAAAGAGGUGAGGGGAGCUGUCCUACUCUCUUUCACUGAAAAGCUCCUCAUCCUACUCUCCAUAUUCCUGGCUGCCCACAUCUGGUAGUCACCAAGUCCAACUAAGCUCUCUUACCUGAGUCUGGAAUCCAUCUUCCCCCUCUCCAUUUCUCCAGCCUGAGUUCAAUCUGUUACCCUCUUUCACCGGAAUCACUGUGGUAGUCUCCUAACUGGUUUUCCUGCUUGCGAUCUUCCCCCGACAACCCAUAUCUCAUCUAGGGGAUCUUUUAUUGUUUAAUAAUGGGAAUUUAUUGGGA